Molecule: RNA transcript, 9565 nt
Organism: Sapajus apella (tufted capuchin)
Lineage: Eukaryota; Metazoa; Chordata; Mammalia; Primates; Cebidae
Gene name: T-complex protein 1 subunit beta pseudogene
Exons: 1
Source: RefSeq, a predicted model, not a curated record
AAAAAAAUUGUCUGAAUUUUCAAUACACAAAGAAAAGUUUUAGUGAAUUUACUUCAGUAAGAUGGAUAAUUUGUUCAAAGUACCAAACACAUUUGCUUUUAUAAUUCAUGCCAUUUGUAUUACAUGUCUACAUGAAAUAGAGAAAGAAUAUAGGACAUGUAACUACACAUGCAAUCUUGGGCUUUCCAAAAUGUUUAAAGUACCAAAUUCCCUUGGUGCCAAUUGUUUUAGGCAUUUCAUCUUCACUCAUUUGCUUCCUAAAUAUAGCAUAGGUGUGAUGUACCCUGUAAAUUUCAAAUUCACAUAAAGAAGUCCCAGCCUUUGAGGCAAGUCUUAAUUGAAUACCAAACGAAAACGUUAGUGUCAUCCGAAAUGUUUCUGAAUAAAUAGUUGCUUUAAAGUCUUCUUUGAUUUCUAUGUUCAUUAGUGUCCAAAUUCAGAAUGGGAACCAAGUUGGGGAGAAAAAGAAACGAAGUCUUUCAGGACAGUCUUUGAAAGAGACUUGGUAAAGAGCACCUUGGGACCCAAAGGCAUGGACAAAAUUCAUCUAAGCAGUGGACGAGAUGCCUCUCUUAUGAUAACCAAUGAUGGUGCCACUAUUCUAAAAAACAUUGGUGUUAACAAUCCAGCAGCUAAAGUUUUAGUUGAUAUGUCAAGGGUUCAAGAUGAUGAAGUUAGUGGCGGGACUACUUCUGUUACCAUUUUAGCAGCAGAAUUAUUAAGGGAAGCAGAAUCUUUAAUUGCAAAAAUGAUUCAUCCACAGACCAUCAUAGCAGGUUGGAGAGAAGCCACAAAGGCUGCAAGAGAGGCUCUGUUGAGUUCCACGGUCGAUCAUGGUUCUGAUAAAGUUAAAUUCCGUCAAGAUUUAAUGAAUGUUGCUGGCACAACAUUAUCCUCAAAACUUCUUACUCAUCACAAAGACCACUUUACUAUGUUAGCUGUAGAAGUGGUUCUCAGACUAAAAGACUCUGGCAACCUGGAGGCAAUUCAUACUAUCAAGAAGCUAGGAGGAAGUUUGGCAGAUUCCUGUUUAGAUGAAGGCUUUCCAUUGGAUAAAAAAAUUGGAGUGAAUCAACCAAAAUGAAUUGAAAAUAUUCAAAUUCUUAUUGCAGACAAUUUUGUCUGUAUGGAUACAGGCAAAAUAAAGAUAUUUGGUUACUGGGAAGAGUUGAUUCUACAGCAAAGUUUGCAGAAAUAGAACAUGUGGAAAAGGAAAAAAUGAAGGAGAAGGUUGAAUGUAUUCUUAAGCAUGGAAUAAAUUGCUUUAUUAACAGGCAGUUAAUUUAUAAUUAUCCUGAACAGCUCUUCGGUACUGCUGGUGUCAGGGCUAUUGAGCAUGCAGAUUUUGCAGGUGUGGAAUGCCUAGUUCUUGUCACCGGUGGUGAAAUUGCCUCUACCUUUGAUCACCCAGAACUCGUGAAGCUUGGAAGCUGCAAACUUAUUGAGGAAGUCAUGAUUGGAGAAGACAAACUCAUUCACUUUUCUGGGGUUGCCCUUGGUGAGGCUUGUACUAUUGUUUUGCGUGGUGCCACUCAACAAAUUUUAGAUGAAGCAGAAAGAUCUUUGCAUGAUGCUGUUUGUGUUCUUGCACAAACUGUAAAGGACUCUAGAACAGUUUAUGGAGGAGGCUGUUCAGAGAUGUUGAUGGCUCAUGCUGUGACACAGCUUACCAAUAGAACACCAGGCAAAGAAGCUGUUGCAAUGGAGUCUUAUGCUAAAUCACUGAGAAUGUUGCCAACCAUCAUAGCUGACAACGCAGGCUAUGACAGUGCAGACCAGCAGCACAGCUCAGAGCUGCUCACCAUGAAGGUAACACCACUGCUGGACUGGAUAUGAGGGAAGGUCCCAUUGGAGAUAUGGCUCUCCUGGGUAUAACAGAAAGUUUUCAAGUAAAGCAACAAGUUCUUCUAAGUGCAGCUAAAGCAGUACAGGUGAUUCUACAUGUGGACGACAUCAUCAAAGCAGCACCCAGGAAGCGUGUCCCUGAUCACCACCCGGGUUAAGCAUUCCCAUGUGCUGUUAAUCUCUGGACCAAUUUCUAGCAAAGCUGUGUUUGAAAGACAGCCUCUUAAAGAAGACUGUGGAAUCUGUUUAUUGGUGCCCAUUAUAUCCUUAAGUUUGGACAUUUAGCUGACCUUCUCUUUUAACAUGGGUCUAAUUUAUUUGCCAUGUAAUUUUCCAUACAAAUCAGUUGAUUGAAAAGUUCAUUUCUCAUACUGUACAUUAAAAUAAAAAUUUGAAUAAUUAAAAAAAAGAUGUGACAGAUAAUUUUUUUGGCUAAGACAGGGUAGAUUCAAGUAGUCAGGUAAUAGAAAAGGGAGUGCCUUGUGUAUCAACUCAUGCUGGAAUUUGUGAAAUCGUAUAAAGUUUGAUAGAAAAAAUGUUAAAUUCAUCAAACCUUGUUUAGUCAUAAUCCUUACAAUUUCUGAUUUAGUAUAACAUCCUGAGUAAAUUUUUUCAGACUGAUGGAGAGAAGAAAUUAUUCUUUGCAAUAUGUAAAUUUCUGACUAAUAGGAGUAAAAGAAAAUAAUUGGUUCCUUAGGAUAUUUCUGGUUACUUAUGAGACAUUUGAGGAGGGACUCUGUCUAACCAUUGUUUUUAACCCUUGUUGUUGGUGGGUAGACAGAACAUUAAUGCUACAUGAAAGAUAGUUACUCUUGAAUCCUCAAGAGAAAGUAGGUUAUUUUUUUCUCUGUUAUCCAAGAAACUUUUAACAAUUCUAAAGAAAGAAGUAAAAAGCACUUAGUUUUCAGAAGCAUGUUUCAGCUUCUUGCAUCAGGAGUAGGCCAGAUGGCCACGUUCUGUAUGGCUUUAUAAAUAUUCCUUUUUGUUCCAUGUAAAAGUUAAUGGCUAGUUUUAAACCAUGGUAUCAUUUUGAAAUCAGACCUUAUGUGCUUAACUUCAUUCAAACUAUUUCUAUUUUGUUAGACUGUGGAAAACACAGAGCUGAGCUAUUAAAAUUCCAGAGCAGUUUGGAAUUGCCAACAAUAUGUACUGGAGAGAUGGGGAUGGAGUCUGAAGUCAAACGAAUUUGAAACUAGUCUCCUUUUACAUGCUGGGUGACUUUGGACAAGGGGAAAAGCUACCCGUGGGGUUUCUGUGAAUGUUAAAUGAAAUAAUACAUGCAGAGUGCUUGAAGUAAUGCUAGGGACAUAGCAAACCAAAAAAAUGUUAGCCAGUUUAUUAUUGGAAGGGAAAAACUCCUAUUAAUAUUUUCUUAUUUAUGUUUGUGUUUUUGUGGUUGUCAUGAAACAGGCUACUAUUUGAGAAUGUAAGAAUUUUAACCAUUUACAAAAUGGUAUGUGAUAUGACAUGUAUAUGAUCUUUCACAAGUGAAAUGAUAAUGGAAAGUUUACUGAAAGUGUCAGAACAGUUCUAGAUAAAAUAAUUUUUGCUUAAUUUGGAAAUAAAAGUAUGAAUCUGGGUUUAAACUAAAUUUAUUAUUCUGUUAAAGUCACAUGAAUAUGGAAAAAAAUCAGUAUCACUUCUAACUAAACCUGGCCUUGAAACUUCUUUGACGUGGUCUUCUUAAAAUAUAUAUAUUAUAUAUUCUAAAUAGCAUGUUAUUUAGAAAUAUACUAUUUCUAAACUGAAGUAUCUAACUGAUAUUUCUGAUAUAUAUACACUUAUAUAUGAUAUAUGAUUAUAUAUGAUAUAUAUUAUCUAUAUGAUGUAUAUUAUAUAUGAUAUAUAUUUCUAACUGAUAUAACUAGAAGUAUGUCAGUUCUUAGAUAUAUGUAAAUUAUAUUUUAAUAGUAGCCUACAAUGAUGGUACAAGAAGAUAAGAGAUCUAUAUAUACAUUUAUAUAUAAAUAGUUCAACAACAAGAUUUUUAUGUAGAAUAACUUUCUACAGUUUUAUUUAGGGUAAUUUCUAUACAGAAAAAAUACACAUUUUAUCUCCUUUUUGUGCUAAGAUCUGGAGAUGCAAUGGUGCCUCCCUCCCUUCCUGGAGCUUACCAAGCAAAACAAAUUCACUAAAUAAAAUUAUUCCUAAUUGUGUUUUAAGUGCAGUGAAGAGAACAUAGGAGGGGCCGAGUUAAACCAUCUGUUUGUGUAUAUCUGUGUAUGGGUGUGUGUCUGUGUCUGUGUGUGUCUGUGUAUCCUAGAGAUGUGCUUUAGUUGGAGUGGUCAAGGAAGUUGAGAACUGAAAGAACCAGUCAAACAAACAGUAGGGAGAAGAUUAUAGCAGGUACAAAGGUCUUGAAUAUUCAGCAGAUAUGAGGAGCAGAGGCUCUGUUUUUUAAUCACUUAAAAAGGAAAAGAAGUGAGAUUGCUGUCUUAAGAUCUUAAAUUUAUAUGGCACUCAUGUAUAGAUUUCCAGUGAAAAGUUGGACAUCAUGAAAUGAUGGGUUUCCCACCUACCAGUCCCCAGUGUUUGUCUUUGACUGGGGUGUUUUCUGUAUAUAUCUGACCUGAUUUCUAUUGCUAGCCUGUCUUCCCAGGGACCUUGGUGAGCUGAGGUCAAAGAGAGUGGACUGCACCUAGGAAAGAAGGAAAGUCUUUUGAAAUAAACGUGCCCUUGAAAAAUAUUCUGCUGCUUUAAUCUCUCCUCUUUACAGAAAGUUUAAGAUGCUCCUAAGAAUUUGACUCACUAAACUUCAAGAGCAUUUUUAUUAGGUGUAAGAUCUCACUUUGACUUUAGGUGCCAAAUCACACACCAGGCAACCCACACUGAAUUCUCUGUUGCCAUAAGUGCAUAGAUUUCAGUGUUCUAAUGCCUCUAUGAGCUAAAUUUACUUAUGAUUUGAGUUCAAAAUUUAACCGAAUAGUAGAUAUAUGUGUAUAAAACAACAACAGUUUUACCAAAUGGUUAGAAUACUUUUCCCGAAGAUCGUAAUGCUGGCCUUCAGCUAAUAAUAGGAUGUGCCUGCUGGACUGAAUGACAUGGUUGAUACAAAAGACAGAUGUAAGCCAUGGCCCCCCAAACUGGAGUAGGGAUGAGCAUGUCAGCCACACAUGCCAAAGGCCAGGCACUGAUAUUCUUACUGGCAAGACUGCUCAGGAUGUAUGUGGCGUUCUUUUCCCUGGCCACCCUUAAGGAGUUUAUGAAUGGGUUCUAUCAGCUCCAAACAGCAAACACACUUUGGCCUGUAUGAACUGAAACCCAUCAUAGAUCAUAGCCACAAUCAUCUUCCUCACGUAUUCUAGUUCUCAAGUAUAUUUUGGAUCAUAAAACAACAAAAUAAUGACAAAAGCAACAAUAACAACCAAAAGUAACUUAAAUAAGACUUUAGUAUGAAAUGUAUUGCACUGUAAUCAUUUCAAUAUUACAAUGCAUUAAAGAUGUAUGUAUCACUCUAUUACUCUGUGCUCAUCCUCCCUUUUUAUACAAAAUAAAACAUAAUCUGCGUAUUCAUUGUUCUGCAGUUUGUAUUUUGCACUUGACAGUGUGUUGAUUCAUAGAGAAGCUUCUUGUGUUGUUAUGGAAGAACUUUACUGAGAUAUAACUCACAUGCCAUCUAUACAGGGUAUGUAAUUUAUUGAUUUUUACUAUAUUCAGACAGUUGUUGGUUAAUAUCUACCAUUCUUUGGCCAUAAUGAAUAACAGGAUUUUCUCUGCACAGAUAUGUCCAUUUAAGUAAAGAUGCCAAUGCAGCUAAAUAGAAUCACUCAAAAACAACUCCAAAAUGAGCCAGGGAGAGUGGAGGGAAGGAAAGGGAGGAAUGCAUCCAAACAUAGCCCUGUCUUCCAUGAACACUCAGUAAUGUCAUCAAAACAUGAUGCAAUUAAAUUUUACCAAGUUUAUUGCCGUCCUUGAUGCUUUCCAAUUUUUUUGACAACAGUUUUGCCUUCUUCAAAUUCAAAUGGUGUAAUUGGGUCUUGGUAGUUGAUGUUUAUCUUAAUUGAAACAGAUUCUCUUCAUCCUUUUUCUCUGAGACUCCUCCUUUGAGACUGAAAGGUCAUUUUAAAUCUGUACCGCAUUUGAGAAGCCACAUAAUGAAUUCAAAUAAAUUCUUGCCUAUUAAAAGGAGGCUUCUCUUUCUUAACUUCCAGAGCUUACAUAGAAUAAACCAUUUGAUUUUUGUCUAACUUUUCUUUUAAAAGGAACUUAUUGUGCUUACUUUUUAAUGCUGUAACUACAGAGAAUGGGGAAAUCCUAGGUUUUCAUUUAUUCCUGUCAGAAAAAAAGUGUAUUUUGUUCAGUAAUUGCAAUAAAAUCCUACUGGGGUAUACAGCUACUAGUCACCAAAUUUAAGGGAUAUUCUUUAGUUGCAUUACUUUAAGGAUUUCUUAUCUAUUAUCUAGCAACUUCACUUUUUAACGUUUACUCUAUGUACUUGUGUAAAGGUUCAAAAAAAUAUGUCCAAAAUGUUCUGCUGCAGUUUUUGUAACAGAACACUGGAGAGAGCCUAAUUGUCAAUCUGUACAUGACUGAUUGAACAACUGAUGCACAACUAUAAAACAAUACUGUGCAUCUAUGAGGAAGAUCUUUCAUGUGCUGGUAUGGCUGUGGCGCUCUCUACAGAUGAUGCUUACUAUUGUUAUUAUUGUUAUACUUUGAAAAGAUGACAUGCACACUCCCAUGUAUCCACUUUCAUUAGUUUCUUUGUAUAUACCUUUAGGGUUUAUGUAAAUGCAAUGAAAAUAUAAGUUCUAUUCUCUUCCUCCCUUUUUACACAAAAGAAGUAUAAUCUGCAUAUUCAUUGUUCUGUGGCUUGUAUUUUGCACUUGACAGUGUGUCAAUACAUAGAGAAGCUUCUUGUGUUGUUUUGGAAGAACUUUAUGGAGGUAUAACUCACAUAUCAUACUCUUCAUCAAUAGAGGGUGUAUAAUUUAGAGAUUUUUAGUCUAUUCACACAGUUUUGCAACCAUCACCAAAUUCAAUUGAGAACAUUUUCCUACCAGUAUAAGAAGCCCCUUACCCUGUAGUAUCACCCUCCAAUUCCGCCAUUGCCUGCUCUAUAUCCACUGCCCCUCCUGCACCCCACAGCCCUAGGCAACAACGACUCUACCUUUUUUUCUCUAUAAUUUGCCUAUUCUGAAUGUUUCUUAUAAAUAGAAUCAUAUAAUAUGUGGUCUUUUGUGACAUGCUUCUUUCAAGGCUCAUUCAUGUUGUAGCACACAUCAGAUUGUAUUUUUUAGGAGCAAAUAAUAUUCCAUUGUAUGACUAUACCACAUUUUGUUUAUUCAUCUGUUGAUAGAUAUUUGCAUUGUUUCACUUUUUGGCUAUUUCAAAUUGUACUGCAGUGAACAUUUAUGCAAAAGUGUUUGUAUGUUCAAUUUUUCUUUCUUCUGGGUACAUUCCUAGUAGUGGAAUUGCUGGGACAAAUGGUAGCUCUAAGUUUAACUUUUUGGUUGUUUUCCAAAGUGUCUGCAUUUUCAUCUUUCUUACAGCAGAAAGUGAUUCUGUUGAAUGGCUCUAUCAUUAUUGAUUUAGUCAAGGUGUAUUUUUAAGUGGAGAAGUUAAGGCACAGUGUUCCCAGUUAUGGAAAAAUAUGCAAAGACUGUACAUACAUAAAUAUGUUUCACUCAAAAGCAUCUUUCUGCAUGUGCACUCAAGGUAAUGGUAAAGUUGCUAGCUUUGAGGAAGAGGUGGCUACAAGUUUGAAAUCUGAGGUAGAACGGGACUGAGUACUCACCAUUUUAAAUUUGGGGGAAUUUUACUAUGUGUGCUAAUUAAUUUUUCAGUUGAAAAUAUGAUUCAUUAAUGUAAAAAAGAAGAACUGUAUUUUCUUGGAACUCCUUUGAUCAGUGUUGGUCAGGCCAGGGGCGUCUUGACCCGUGCUUUGAGUCAUCCUGCACUGUGAGGUGCUUAGUGCUGUACAAGCACUCUUCUUGACAUCUGCUCUAUUUGACACCAUUUUUAGUUACUAGGGCAAGAAAAAAACAAAAAACAAAAACGAUAAUUGCUUCUCUGUCUUUAAGCCAAGAUAUCAUUUAAAAACCAGACAUUUAGCUCUUACUCUAAAUGAGUGUUUCUCAACUGUUUUAUUCAAAUUAAUCCACCUCAAAAGCAAAAUAGGAGGGAAAAUUAGGGUGAACAUCUGGGUGAACCUUGGGAUUGAGAAAUAGGAGGGCAGUAUAUGAACUAAUCAUGAAUGGUAUUAGGAAAUGAAGCUGGGCAGUCUGUCUGACGUCCUUCAUAGUUUCUUGUACAUUCUUUCUGAAAUAUCGUGUAUUGAUAACUGGAAGAGGGAGUCAUCACUUUCUGCACAGUAGCCAUCAUGUAGCUCUGAAUGGGCUUUGUGUUUGCUCUCAUCUUUGCUUGAAAAUCAGCUGUCUUAGUUUGGGUUUUUCUGCUCUUUAAGACAAAACUAAUCUAUAGUGGUUACAUAUGAAACACACUAGUAGAUUUGAUUCUGCCUUUCCUUACAUUCGCUUGCCUUAUUAAAUGAUAGGAAAGAAUCAAAAUUCAUUUGCCGUAUUGACUUGUUCAUUCUUGUAUUCACUUAUCUAUUCGUCAAGCAUUUAUUAAUCCAACGCUCCUGUAACAUCACUCCUCACUAAGUGAUGAUUCCUUCUGGGGUGCCGAGGAAAGCUUGAUUUCCAGCUGGAGGAAGAAUAAUUUAGUAUCCUUUUUAAUGAUCAGAAUCCUAAACAAACCCAAUUUUGAAAAAUAACAUGACUUUGCUAAAAAUACAUUAAAAAGAUAAAGAGAUGCUAUGAAAAUGAAAUUUUAAUAAUGUAAAAAAUUGGGGGUUAUCAGAAAUUCAUAAACUGACUUUACUUAGAGCUAGAAAGCCCCUUUGAGACGAGUAAAGUCAUGAAUGAAAAAAUGCAUACCUUUUCUUCAAUCAUUGUCUAUAUCCCACCGUGAUAAUGAGGAGUAUGCUAUGUGUAGUGACUGUGUUUGCAGAUGGAGGAGGUUUGGGUAACGGAAGUAAAGAUGCUCCCAGAACAAGUACCACAUCCAGUUAGCUUACCAGUUAGCAAUCUAUUCCUGAAGUAUUUGUUUAUGAAGAUGAUUAUAACUAGACAGAAGUCUUAUUUUAUUUUUUUGUUUAUAUAUGAAGAUAUCAUAAAAUGUUUUCUUUUCAAACAGCAAUACAUUUUUUCUUUGGCAGCGCUAUUGUUUAUUUUAAAAGAAAAGACAGUAACUAAUCCCAGCAUUUUAAAAUGAAUAAAUAGAGACUUUGACGCUGUAAAGGCAGCAUAAAGCCAUUUGCCAAAUGUCAACAGAGUUCACAAAGAAUUCUGUGUUGUAAAAACCUCACAGUUGCCUAGUUUACUCCCUCAUCCAAAAAACGAGAGGGACAAGAUUCUUUGAUAUUUUUAUGUAUAGUGUAACUAGAGAAUGUGACUUCAGUGAUGAUGAUGAUCUAAUUGCAAUGCUAAGAACCACGGCUAGGCUGGGACUGUGGGUGCACAUUGUCAGGCUGGGGAGCGUGGGUAGCUGGCAAAGAAAGCAAUGGUGAGAGUAUCACUUGGAUAUUUAUUUCUGGAUCUUAUUCUAUCUGUUCCAUACACUUUGGUGUUUAGAAUCUAGAUGAUGGCUGGAUGGGUGCAGUAGCUCAAACCUAUAAUCCUAACACUUUGGGAGGCUGAGAUGGGAGGAUCGCUUGAGUCGAGGAGUGUAAGACCAGUCUUGACAACAUAGGAAGAUCCUGUCUCUCCAAAAAAAA